CACAUGAAUUAGCUGAACUGGAGGCGAGGCGUGAACGUGUGAAGCAAAAUGUUGAGCCGUGGAUCCGUUCACCAAGAAGCAGUGGUAUGACAUCAAGGCGCCGCUGCUCUUCACCAGCCGCAACGUAGGCAAGACCCUCGUGUCCAGGACACAGGGUACCAAGAUUGCCUUAGAGGGCCUGAAGCACCGGGUGUUUGAAGUAUCUCUAGAUGAUCUUCAGAACGAUGAGGACCAGGCCUACAGGAAGA
Hordeum vulgare subsp. vulgare (domesticated barley) is the source of this 248-nucleotide long non-coding RNA. RefSeq lists it as uncharacterized. The transcript has 3 exons. Lineage: Eukaryota; Viridiplantae; Streptophyta; Magnoliopsida; Poales; Poaceae. The record is from RefSeq and is a predicted model, not a curated record.